CAGUCGCCACGGUAAUACGGAGGGUGCAAGCGUUAUCCGGAUUUAUUGGGUUUAAAGGGUCCGUAGGCGGAUCUGUAAGUCAGUGGUGAAAUCUCACAGCUUAACUGUGAAACUGCCAUUGAUACUGCAGGUCUUGAGUAAAUUUGAAGUGGCUGGAAUAAGUAGUGUAGCGGUGAAAUGCAUAGAUAUUACUUAGAACACCAAUUGCGAAGGCAGGUCACUAAGAUUUAACUGACGCUGAUGGACGAAAGCGUGGGGAGCGAACAGGAUUAGAGACCCCAGUAGUCCCUGUCUCUUAUAC
This 301-nucleotide ribosomal RNA is filed under the name uncultured bacterium. Its description in RNAcentral is "partial 16S ribosomal RNA". It matches the Rfam family "Bacterial small subunit ribosomal RNA", at positions 509 to 807 of the family's 1533-position model. The record is from RNAcentral.